AAUAGAUACCCAGGUAGUCCACGCCGUAAACGAUGAGUGCUAAGUGUUAGGGGGUUUCCGCCCCUUAGUGCUGCAGCUAACGCAUUAAGCACUCCGCCUGGGGAGUACGGUCGCAAGACUGAAACUCAAAGGAAUUGACGGGGGCCCGCACAAGCGGUGGAGCAUGUGGUUUAAUUCGAAGCAACGCGAAGAACCUUACCAGGUCUUGACAUCCCAUUGACCACUAUGGAGACAUAGUUUUCCCUUCGGGGACAACGGUGACAGGUGGUGCAUGGUUGUCGUCAGCUCGUGUCGUGAGAUGUUGGGUUAAGUCCCGCAACGAGCGCAACCCUUGUUCUUAGUUGCCAUCAUUUAGUUGGGCACUCUAAGGAGACUGCCGGUGACAAACCGGAGGAAGGUGGGGAUGACGUCAAAUCAUCAUGCCCCUUAUGACCUGGGCUACACACGUGCUACAAUGGACGGUACAAACGGUUGCCAACCCGCGAGGGGGAGCUAAUCCGAUAAAAACCGGUUCUCAGUUCGGAUUGUAGGCUGCAACUCGCUACA
This 546-nucleotide ribosomal RNA is filed under the name uncultured bacterium. RNAcentral's name for it is "bacterial SSU rRNA". It matches the Rfam family "Bacterial small subunit ribosomal RNA", at positions 777 to 1320 of the family's 1533-position model. The record is from RNAcentral.